RNAcentral lists this ribosomal RNA (253 nucleotides) under uncultured bacterium. RNAcentral's name for it is "partial 16S ribosomal RNA". It matches the Rfam family "Bacterial small subunit ribosomal RNA", at positions 524 to 776 of the family's 1533-position model. The record is from RNAcentral.
UACAGAGGUCCCGAGCGUUGUUCGGAUUUACUGGGCGUAAAGAGCGCGCAGGCGGUCGUUCAAGUCGAGUGUGAAAGCCCCCGGCUCAACUGGGGAGGGUCACUCGAUACUGAUCGACUCGAAGGCAGGAGAGGGUAGUGGAAUUCCCGGUGUAGUGGUGAAAUGCGUAGAGAUCCGGAGGAAGACCGGUGGCGAAGGCGGUCUGCUGGGCAGUUUCUGACACUGAUGCGCGACAGCGUGGGGAGCAAACAGG